Non-coding RNA from Gymnogyps californianus (California condor), 774 nucleotides. The record is from the annotation of a RefSeq genome assembly. NCBI's taxonomy places the organism in Eukaryota, Metazoa, Chordata, Aves, Accipitriformes, Cathartidae.
CAUGGCGCCCGGGCUGGGGCCGUGGCUGCUGGCCUUGUCCUUGGCCGCGGGGCCGGCAGGGGUGUGGGCGCAGCUGAGGCUGGAGGCGGCCGGCGGAGGGCUGCGAGCGCCCGGGGACUCCGUGCUCCUCUCCUGCCGCGGAUCCGGCUUCACCUUCGGGAGUUAUGAACUUCUGUGGUACCGUCAGGCACCUGGUGGCAAACUCGAGUGCCUUUCCUUCACCAGAAGCCAUUCGAAUACCACGGAUUACGCGGCAGCGGUGGAAGGUCGAGCCACAGCCUCCCGGGACAAUUCCCGGUCUGAGGCAUCUCUGUCCCUGCGUGCCCUGCACCCCCGGGACUCUGCCCGCUACUUCUGUGCUGUUCGCACGGAGAGAGGAAAUCCAGCCGAGCUUUAACACAAACCUGCUGGGGGCCGGCACAGGGUGCAAGAGGUGUGGGGCUGGUGAGUGCUGUAGUGUGGGUUGAGGGAGGGCUCAGGGCUGGUCCCAGGGAGUGAGGGGCCAUCACUGUUCACCGCAGGUUUUCCUGGCGUUUCCUGUGCACUGAAGGAAAUUUAAUUGAUCCCCUACUAAAAUAGAGUAGGAUUGUGAGAAGCAGAAAAAAAGCAGAUUAAAACCUAAAAACAUCUUGUCCCCACUCAUCCUCCCUUCUUCCCAGCUUCAACUUCACUCCUGACUCAUCUACCGCCUCUCUCCAUGUGGCACCGGGGCAAUGGUGUUUGGGUUCAAUUCAUAACACUUCAUCUCUACUCUUCCUUCCUCCCUCCCAUGGU